Long non-coding RNA from Dama dama (fallow deer), 1674 nucleotides. RefSeq lists it as uncharacterized. The record is from RefSeq and is a predicted model, not a curated record. The transcript is spliced from 3 exons. NCBI's taxonomy places the organism in Eukaryota, Metazoa, Chordata, Mammalia, Artiodactyla, Cervidae.
GACAGUUCCACACUUCCUUCUGAGGCCCCACUGCCAUUCAGAGGCAAGUGGCUGCCCCACUCAGCUGGGGCGUGAAAGACUUGAAGCACAUGGCUGAGUGGAAAGACUCUGAAGGGUCUGCUGCACCUUCCUGUUCUGCCCAUCCAGAUGCCUGAGUUUCCCUCCCAGCUCUCUGACUGAUGGGCUCUGUGAUUUCAGGCCCCUUUCCCUAUCUAUAAAAGAUUUGACAGCUAUGCUAUUUUUAAGAUGUCUUUCAAGUUUUAGGUAUUAUGAAUCCAUGGGUGUAAUUAUACUGAGGUUACAAAAGAAUUUUAAUAGAUCGUUUUCUCCGUGAAGACUAUAGUUCCCACAAGGUAGAGGAUACAGAACUUAUUAUUCCUAUUUUACAGAUGGAGGAAGAACACUUUGGUGGGGAGGGGAAAGAAUCAGGCCAGGCUUCUCUCUCUCCGGAUGCUUAUUUUGCCUUCGGUGAAAUUUGAAAGGCUACCCACUCCAGUAUUCUGGCCUGGAGAAUUUCAUGGACUAUACAGUCCAUGGGGUCGCAGAGAGUCUCAGAUACAACUGAGCGACUUUCACUUUCACUUUCUCUCUCUCCCAAUGCUUGUUUUGCCCCCAGUGAAAUUUGAACAAUAAACAGGUGUGGAGCAGCAGGACUACCGCAGAUGAGGUAAAGGUUCACAUGCAUAGGAAGUUAUUUACUCUGGCCUCACCCUGAUCCCAACAGUUGCCAGGCAGAAACAAAUCCAAAACAACAAAAGUUCUGGUGAGUUCAGUGCUAGUCUGGGAAGUACCUGCUGCUUCUGGGAAAGUGAAAGUUUCAGUUUUCUAAAAAAGAGCAAAUGUAAGACCUUCCAGGAACCAGUGACUGUACAGCUUUGGAAUGUCAGUGAUUUGUGGGUCUAAGGAAUAUUGAGAUGGAAAACAGUAGAGGAAGGAGAUUUAUUCACUUACCCAAAACAGUUAUUUAUUAUUCAGUGUGAAUGGAGCCCUCUGCCAGACAGUAGACAUAAAGCUUAAUAAGACAGAUGGCCUCCCCUGCAGGGGCUCACGGUCUAGUUUCAGGACAGAGACUGAUGGUGGGGGUGGAGAAUUUAAUAGGGACAGUGAGAGAGGUGAGCCCCUGGAGCAGAGCAGCAGGAGCGCGUGGAAAGGAGCACUGAGACGAUAAGAGAAGGAUUCCUGAGAGAUUUAAACCCUGGGGUGAAUCUUAAAGAACUAGGGCCUAACGGGGAGAGCCCUUUAGGGAAUGGCAGGGCGCGCCAUAUACAGAGGCACAAAGGUAUCAGGAGGGCAGGAAGUUUGUCAUGGAUGGAACAUCCUUUCCAAAAGGAAAAGCAGAGAGAAAUGGGCCAAAUAAGCUGUGUUUCUGGGGAAGAAAUAUCAACGCAGAAAAGAGAAGGGACACAGGAAAGAGUGAUACUGCUUUUACUUGUCCCCUAGAAAGAAAAAUGACUUCAUUAACAAUGUCUGGAAGAGAUGAACCAAUGGUAGGGGAACAUCUUUGGACAUGAGUUCAUUCCCUGGUGGCUCAGAUGGCAAAAAAUCUGCCUGUGAUGCAGGAGACCCAGGUUCAAUCCCUGGAUCAGGAAAAACCCCUGGAGAAGGGAAUGGCCACCCACUCCAGUAUUCUUGCCUGGAGAAUCCCAUGGACAGAUGAGCCUGGUGGGCUACAGU